AAAACCCUAGCCGCCCAUAAAAUUUCCUCAUCUGCCCUCUCUCAAUCUCGCCAAAACCCUAGCAAAAAAUCUCAAGUGCCCUCAUCUACCCCCGCACCAAGCCCUCAGUCUUCACCAGUCCUCAAAUCUCAGAUGAGGUCUCAUCAAAUUUCCUCAUCCUCCCUCUCUCAAUCUCGCCAAAACCCUAGCGAAAAAUCCCAAGUGCUGCCCUCAUCUACUCGCGCUCAAACCUAUCGUUCUCCCCCAAUGUGCCAAAACCCUAGCCGCCAAUCCCCCCCAAUUCCUGGGCAUCCAGCCCCAACUUCUGGGGAUCGAGAUCCAAUGGCUGCCCGACUUCUGGUGGUUGGGUCUAAGGCUCGAGGUGGUGAGGUGCCACAGUUAUGCUUGUUUUUAUUAUUAAGUGAUCUGAAUGUCUAAAGAUGUGCCCUGGGUCUGAAGUAUAUACCUAAUGGAGAGCUUAUGGAGCCUCUGCUUCUCAGAGGGGCAUCUUCUUAGAGGGUUUUCAGAGCAAUUCUAUUCGUAUUUUCUCAUUGCUUUAUGGGAAAUGGUAUUGUCAAUGAGAAAUCUUUAGAGCUAUUCUGCAAAAAUGUUUGGAUAAAGGCUACGUGGGGUUUGUACAAUUUUUUUUGUCUUACAUCAAUUCUUUUUGUUUCAUUUUUUGAUGUACAUUUUUUCUAUUGACAGUGACAUUACACAUCAUACUCUUAUGGUUGUUGUUGCACGCCUUGAGGAGUAACGAGGGGAAAAGUAGAUAAUUAUUUAACUAUUGCUUUUUAAUUUUUAAUUUCUUAUCAUAUUUUAGUAGUUUUAUAAUAUUUUUGUUAUUGAAACAAUAUUCCUUCAUAUGUAGAUUUGGCCUAACAUGCUCAAAUGCUAAGUUUGUUCUAGAGAGCUUGUAAAUGGAAAGUAAAAAAGUUUUCUAUUCUGUUUUGGGGCUGUUGCCUUAUUGCAAUUUGUAAGUACGUAUGUUGGUAUAAGACGUUCAUUUUCUCUGUUGCAAUUACAUGUUUUGCCAUUGUUGUGGAACAUAAAAUUCUGUUGGUUGUAAGUUUUGAGAUUGGCCUAAAACAGCACUUUUAAUGUGGUUAUUCUGUUA
Long non-coding RNA from Asparagus officinalis (garden asparagus), 1096 nucleotides. RefSeq lists it as uncharacterized. The record is from RefSeq and is a predicted model, not a curated record. NCBI's taxonomy places the organism in Eukaryota, Viridiplantae, Streptophyta, Magnoliopsida, Asparagales, Asparagaceae. The transcript is spliced from 2 exons.